This 64-nucleotide transfer RNA is filed under the name Mastotermes darwiniensis (giant northern termite). RNAcentral's name for it is "tRNA-Pro". The record is from RNAcentral. Lineage: Eukaryota; Metazoa; Arthropoda; Insecta; Blattodea; Mastotermitidae.
CAGGGAAUAGUUUAUUUAAAAUAAUAAUUUUGGAGAUUAUCGAUAAGAGUUAUCUUUUCCUUGA